RNAcentral lists this transfer RNA (73 nucleotides) under Perca fluviatilis (European perch). It matches the Rfam family "tRNA". Rfam says of the family: Transfer RNA (tRNA) molecules are approximately 80 nucleotides in length. Their secondary structure includes four short double-helical elements and three loops (D, anti-codon, and T loops). Lineage: Eukaryota; Metazoa; Chordata; Actinopteri; Perciformes; Percidae. The record is from Rfam by way of RNAcentral.
UCUCUGAUGGUCUUAGUGGCUAGGAUUCAGUGCUCUCACCGCUGCGGCCUGGGUUCGAUUCCCGGUCAGGGAC